AACACAUGCAAGUCGAGGGGCAGCAUGAAAGUUUGCUUGCAAACUUUUGAUGGCGACCGGCGCACGGGUGAGUAACACGUAUCCAACCUGCCUCAUACUCGGGGAUAGCCUUUCGAAAGAAAGAUUAAUACCCGAUGUCAUAGUCCUACCGCAUGAUGGGAUUAUUAAAGAGUUUCGGUAUGGGAUGGGGAUGCGUUCCAUUAGUUAGUUGGCGGGGUAACGGCCCACCAAGACGACGAUGGAUAGGGGUUCUGAGAGGAAGGUCCCCCACAUUGGAACUGAGACACGGUCCAAACUCCUACGGGAGGCAGCAGUGAGGAAUAUUGGUCAAUGGACGAGAGUCUGAACCAGCCAAGUAGCGUGAAGGAUGACUGCCCUAUGGGUUGUAAACUUCUUUUAUAUGGGAAUAAAAUGUUCCACGUGUGGGAUUUUGUAUGUACCAUAUGAAUAAGGAUCGGCUAACUCCGUGCCAGCAGCCGCGGUAAUACGGAGGAUCCGAGCGUUAUCCGGAUUUAUUGGGUUUAAAGGGAGCGUAGGUGGAUUGUUAAGUCAGUUGUGAAAGUUUGCGGCUCAACCGUAAAAUUGCAGUUGAAACUGGCAGUCUUGAGUACAGUAGAGGUGGGCGGAAUUCGUGGUGUAGCGGUGAAGUGCUUAGAUAU
This 659-nucleotide ribosomal RNA is filed under the name uncultured Bacteroides sp. Its description in RNAcentral is "bacterial SSU rRNA". It matches the Rfam family "Bacterial small subunit ribosomal RNA", at positions 50 to 697 of the family's 1533-position model. The record is from RNAcentral. Lineage: Bacteria; Pseudomonadati; Bacteroidota; Bacteroidia; Bacteroidales; Bacteroidaceae.